RNAcentral lists this ribosomal RNA (581 nucleotides) under uncultured bacterium. Its description in RNAcentral is "bacterial SSU rRNA". It matches the Rfam family "Bacterial small subunit ribosomal RNA", at positions 338 to 918 of the family's 1533-position model. The record is from RNAcentral.
CCUACGGGAGGCAGCAGUAAGGAAUAUUGGACAAUGCUCGCAAGAGUGAUCCAGCCAUGCCGCGUGCAGGAAGAAUGCCCUAUGGGUAGUAAACUGCUUUUGAACUAGAGAAAAUCCCAGUACGUGUACUGGGCUGAUAGUAUAGUUAGAAUAAGCAUCGGCUAACUUCGUGCCAGCAGCCGCGGUAAGACGAAGGAUGCAAGCGUUAUCCGGAUUCAUUGGGUUUAAAGGGAGCGUAGGUGGACUGAUAAGUCAGUGGUGAAAUCUCCGAGCUUAACUCGGAAAUUGCCAUUGAUACUGUUGGUCUUGAGUACAGUUGCUGUGGGCGGAAUAUGACAUGUAGUGGUGAAAUACAUAGAGAUGUCAUAGAACACCGAUUGCGAAGGCAGCUCACAAAGCUGUAACUGACACUGAGGCUCGAAAGUGCGGGGAUCAAACAGGAUUAGAUACCCUGGUAGUCCGCACCGUAAAACGAUGAUUACUCGCUGCUAGGGGGCAACCUUUAGUGGCUUAGCGAAAGCGAUAAGUAAUCCACCUGGGGAGUACGCCGGCAACGGUGAAACUUAAAGGAAAUUAGACGG